AGGGCGUGUGAGCCAGGGGGGACAGGGACACUCCCCGGCCAAGGGCGGAAGCAAGGCUGAGCCUCCCCUCCAAGCUCAUCUCAUCCUGUGACAGUCACAGAGCCACAGAGGAGCUGCCGCUCAAGCAUCUUCACCAGGGGACUCUGCGGCGUCUCCUUGCCCACGCCCACCCCUGCGCCCAGUGGUGGUGGAGUGAAACGAGACACUGUGUCUUUAAUUCAUAAAUAUCCCAGAUUGUUCCAUUGUCACUCUUCAAAUGAUGACUCUUUAACUUUAUCAGAUAGCCAAUCUGUUCACCUGGGCCCCGUCUGACCACAUACUGUCCCCAGGGCGAGCAGGGCAGGCAGGUCCGCACACACCUGGAAGAGGACACGGGAGGAUGGAAACCGCGUUCUCAGAGGUGCCGUGACCCACUUGCCAACCAGAGCCCAGCAGGGUGUCAUUUCCCAGACACCUCUGGUGUCUCAUUUCCUGUGGGGGUCCUGGCCACGCCAGACCUUCUCCUGCUGGGUGUUGAAUAAAUUCUGGAAGCUUCCAGUUCCUCCCUUGGGCUCUUCAUUGUGUGUCCUCCCUCUGGCUGAACCCAGGGGAAGUCAGAGUCCAAGGGAGUCCUGGCGACACCCUCCUUCGGGCCAGACUUCUGCGUCAUCCCUACAGGUCAGCCUCCAGAGCCCAG
This 676-nucleotide long non-coding RNA is filed under the name Marmota monax (woodchuck). Lineage: Eukaryota; Metazoa; Chordata; Mammalia; Rodentia; Sciuridae. The record is from RNAcentral.